CAGUCGCGGGAAUACAGAGGGUGCGAGCGUUAAUCGGAUUUACUGGGCGUAAAGCGUGCGUAGGCGGCUUCUUAAGUCGGAUGUGAAAUCCCUGAGCUUAACUUAGGAAUUGCAUUCGAUACUGGGAAGCUAGAGUAUGGGAGAGGAUGGUAGAAUUCCAGGUGUAGCGGUGAAAUGCGUAGAGAUCUGGAGGAAUACCGAUAGCGAAGGCAGCCAUCUGGCCUAAUACUGACGCUGAGGUACGAAAGCAUGGGGAGCAAACAGGAUUAGAUACCCGCGUAGUCCCUGUCUCUUAUACACA
Molecule: ribosomal RNA, 301 nt
Filed under: uncultured bacterium
Lineage: Bacteria
Description: partial 16S ribosomal RNA
Rfam family: Bacterial small subunit ribosomal RNA
Source: RNAcentral